GAUGAACGCUAGCUACAGGCUUAACACAUGCAAGUCGAGGGGCAGCAGGGAUUUAGCUUGCUAAAUUCGCUGGCGACCGGCGCACGGGUGCGUAACGCGUAUCCAACUUUCCCGUUACUCUCGGAUAGCCUUCCGAAAGGGAGAUUAAUACGAGAUGGUGUUCUAAUUCCGCAUGUUAUUAGAACUAAAGAUUCAUCGGUAACGGAUAGGGAUGCGUGACAUUAGAUAGUUGGCGGGGUAACGGCCCACCAAGUCUACGAUGUCUAGGGGUUCUGAGAGGAACGGUCCCCCACACUGGAACUGAGACACGGUCCAGACUCCUACGGGAGGCAGCAGUGAGGAAUAUUGGUCAAUGGCCGAGAGGCUGAACCAGCCAAGUAGCGUGAAGGAU
This 391-nucleotide ribosomal RNA is filed under the name uncultured bacterium. Its description in RNAcentral is "bacterial SSU rRNA". It matches the Rfam family "Bacterial small subunit ribosomal RNA", at positions 28 to 409 of the family's 1533-position model. The record is from RNAcentral.